This 761-nucleotide ribosomal RNA is filed under the name Kineococcus gynurae. RNAcentral's name for it is "bacterial SSU rRNA". It matches the Rfam family "Bacterial small subunit ribosomal RNA", at positions 732 to 1533 of the family's 1533-position model. The record is from RNAcentral. Lineage: Bacteria; Bacillati; Actinomycetota; Actinomycetes; Kineosporiales; Kineosporiaceae.
GGCAGUUACUGACGCCUGAGGAGCGAAGCAUGGGGAGCGGAACAGGAUUAGAUACCCUGGUAGUCCAUGCCGUAAACGUUGGGCGCUAGGUGUGGGGUCCAUUCCACGGAUUCCGUGCCGCAGCUAACGCAUUAAGCGCCCCGCCUGGGGAGUACGGCCGCAAGGCUAAAACUCAAAGGAAUUGACGGGGGCCCGCACAAGCGGCGGAGCAUGCGGAUUAAUUCGAUGCAACGCGAAGAACCUUACCAAGGCUUGACAUGCGCAGUGGAAUCCCAGAGAUGGGGUGUCAUUUAGUUGGUUGCGUACAGGUGGUGCAUGGUUGUCGUCAGCUCGUGUCGUGAGAUGUUGGGUUAAGUCCCGCAACGAGCGCAACCCUCGUUCCAUGUUGCCAGCACUUCGGGUGGGGACUCAUGGGAGACUGCCGGGGUCAACUCGGAGGAAGGUGGGGAUGACGUCAAAUCAUCAUGCCCCUUAUGUCUUGGGCUUCACGCAUGCUACAAUGGCCGGUACAGAGGGCUCGCCGCAUACCGUGAGGUGGAGCGACUAACGCACGAUCCCUUAAAGCUGGUCUCAGUUCGGAUCGGGGUCUGCAACUCGACCCCGUGAAGUCGGAGUCGCUAGUAAUCGCAGAUCAGCAACGCUGCGGUAGAGAAUACGUUCCCGGGCCUAUGUACACACCUGCCCGUCUUCUCGCUCUGCGUCUUAGUGCGGUGGUAACGAACACCGUUAUCACUCUGUCGUCUGUCCUUGCUCUCGCGCUC